Molecule: ribosomal RNA, 2923 nt
Filed under: Klebsiella pneumoniae
Lineage: Bacteria; Pseudomonadati; Pseudomonadota; Gammaproteobacteria; Enterobacterales; Enterobacteriaceae
Description: 23S ribosomal RNA
Rfam family: Bacterial large subunit ribosomal RNA
Source: RNAcentral
GGGUUGUGAGGUUAAGCGACUAAGCGUACACGGUGGAUGCCCUGGCAGUCAGAGGCGAUGAAGGACGUGCUAAUCUGCGAAAAGCGUCGGUAAGGUGAUAUGAACCGUUAUAACCGGCGAUGUCCGAAUGGGGAAACCCAGUGUGAUUCGUCACACUAUCGUUAACUGAAUACAUAGGUUAACGAGGCGAACCGGGGGAACUGAAACAUCUAAGUACCCCGAGGAAAAGAAAUCAACCGAGAUUCCCCCAGUAGCGGCGAGCGAACGGGGAGCAGCCCAGAGUCUGAAUCAGCUUGUGUGUUAGUGGAACGGUCUGGAAAGUCCGACGGUACAGGGUGAUAGUCCCGUACACCAAAAUGCACAGGCUGUGAACUCGAAGAGUAGGGCGGGACACGUGGUAUCCUGUCUGAAUAUGGGGGGACCAUCCUCCAAGGCUAAAUACUCCUGACUGACCGAUAGUGAACCAGUACCGUGAGGGAAAGGCGAAAAGAACCCCGGCGAGGGGAGUGAAAAAGAACCUGAAACCGUGUACGUACAAGCAGUGGGAGCACCUUCGGGUGUGACUGCGUACCUUUUGUAUAAUGGGUCAGCGACUUAUAUUCUGUAGCAAGGUUAACCGUAUAGGGGAGCCGCAGGGAAACCGAGUCUUAACUGGGCGUUAAGUUGCAGGGUAUAGACCCGAAACCCGGUGAUCUAGCCAUGGGCAGGUUGAAGGUUGGGUAACACUAACUGGAGGACCGAACCGACUAAUGUUGAAAAAUUAGCGGAUGACUUGUGGCUGGGGGUGAAAGGCCAAUCAAACCGGGAGAUAGCUGGUUCUCCCCGAAAGCUAUUUAGGUAGCGCCUCGUGAAUUCAUCUUCGGGGGUAGAGCACUGUUUCGGCUAGGGGGUCAUCCCGACUUACCAACCCGAUGCAAACUACGAAUACCGAAGAAUGUUAUCACGGGAGACACACGGCGGGUGCUAACGUCCGUCGUGAAGAGGGAAACAACCCAGACCGCCAGCUAAGGUCCCAAAGUCAUGGUUAAGUGGGAAACGAUGUGGGAAGGCACAGACAGCCAGGAUGUUGGCUUAGAAGCAGCCAUCAUUUAAAGAAAGCGUAAUAGCUCACUGGUCGAGUCGGCCUGCGCGGAAGAUGUAACGGGGCUAAACCAUGCACCGAAGCUGCGGCAGCGACACUAUGUGUUGUUGGGUAGGGGAGCGUUCUGUAAGCCUGCGAAGGUGUGCUGUGAGGCAUGCUGGAGGUAUCAGAAGUGCGAAUGCUGACAUAAGUAACGAUAAAGCGGGUGAAAAGCCCGCUCGCCGGAAGACCAAGGGUUCCUGUCCAACGUUAAUCGGGGCAGGGUGAGUCGACCCCUAAGGCGAGGCCGAAAGGCGUAGUCGAUGGGAAACAGGUUAAUAUUCCUGUACUUGGUGUUACUGCGAAGGGGGGACGGAGAAGGCUAUGUUAGCCGGGCGACGGUUGUCCCGGUUUAAGCAUGUAGGCUGGUUGUCCAGGCAAAUCCGGAUAAUCAAGGCUGAGGUGUGAUGACGAGGCACUACGGUGCUGAAGUAACAAAUGCCCUGCUUCCAGGAAAAGCCUCUAAGCAUCAGGUAACAUCAAAUCGUACCCCAAACCGACACAGGUGGUCAGGUAGAGAAUACCAAGGCGCUUGAGAGAACUCGGGUGAAGGAACUAGGCAAAAUGGUGCCGUAACUUCGGGAGAAGGCACGCUGGUGUGUAGGUGAAGUCCCUGCGGAUGGAGCUGAGACCAGUCGAAGAUACCAGCUGGCUGCAACUGUUUAUUAAAAACACAGCACUGUGCAAACACGAAAGUGGACGUAUACGGUGUGACGCCUGCCCGGUGCCGGAAGGUUAAUUGAUGGGGUUAUCCGUAAGGAGAAGCUCUUGAUCGAAGCCCCGGUAAACGGCGGCCGUAACUAUAACGGUCCUAAGGUAGCGAAAUUCCUUGUCGGGUAAGUUCCGACCUGCACGAAUGGCGUAAUGAUGGCCAGGCUGUCUCCACCCGAGACUCAGUGAAAUUGAACUCGCUGUGAAGAUGCAGUGUACCCGCGGCAAGACGGAAAGACCCCGUGAACCUUUACUAUAGCUUGACACUGAACAUUGAGCCUUGAUGUGUAGGAUAGGUGGGAGGCUUUGAAGCGUGGACGCCAGUCUGCGUGGAGCCAACCUUGAAAUACCACCCUUUAAUGUUUGAUGUUCUAACGUUGGCCCCUGACCGGGGUUGCGGACAGUGUCUGGUGGGUAGUUUGACUGGGGCGGUCUCCUCCCAAAGCGUAACGGAGGAGCACGAAGGUUAGCUAAUCCUGGUCGGACAUCAGGAGGUUAGUGCAAUGGCAUAAGCUAGCUUGACUGCGAGCGUGACGGCGCGAGCAGGUGCGAAAGCAGGUCAUAGUGAUCCGGUGGUUCUGAAUGGAAGGGCCAUCGCUCAACGGAUAAAAGGUACUCCGGGGAUAACAGGCUGAUACCGCCCAAGAGUUCAUAUCGACGGCGGUGUUUGGCACCUCGAUGUCGGCUCAUCACAUCCUGGGGCUGAAGUAGGUCCCAAGGGUAUGGCUGUUCGCCAUUUAAAGUGGUACGCGAGCUGGGUUUAGAACGUCGUGAGACAGUUCGGUCCCUAUCUGCCGUGGGCGCUGGAGAAUUGAGGGGGGCUGCUCCUAGUACGAGAGGACCGGAGUGGACGCAUCACUGGUGUUCGGGUUGUCAUGCCAAUGGCACUGCCCGGUAGCUAAAUGCGGAAGAGAUAAGUGCUGAAAGCAUCUAAGCACGAAACUUGCCCCGAGAUGAGUUCUCCCUGAGACUUUAAGUCUCCUGAAGGAACGUUGAAGACGACGACGUUGAUAGGCCGGGUGUGUAAGCGCAGCGAUGCGUUGAGCUAACCGGUACUAAUGAACCGUGAGGCUUAACCUUACAACGCCGAAG